Molecule: transfer RNA, 67 nt
Filed under: Koreocerus koreanus
Lineage: Eukaryota; Metazoa; Arthropoda; Insecta; Hemiptera; Cicadellidae
Description: tRNA-Asp
Source: RNAcentral
AAAGAUUUAGUUUAACUUUAAACAUUAACUUGUCAAGUUAAAAUUAUUAUUUAUAUAAUAAUCUUUA